RNAcentral lists this long non-coding RNA (1711 nucleotides) under Cottoperca gobio. RNAcentral's name for it is "lncRNA (ENSCGOG00000002265.1)". The stretch from base 174 to 242 matches the Rfam family "mir-29 microRNA precursor family". Lineage: Eukaryota; Metazoa; Chordata; Actinopteri; Perciformes; Bovichtidae. The record is from RNAcentral.
CCCAGAUUGAUAAUAGCAACAAUAAGGCUGAAACGCGAACCUGCAGACCGACUGUUCAGCGAGGACCUGUUCUGACUGGUGCCGGCCGGGAAACCAGGAAGGAAACAUGCUGGGGAUAAACACGAAGGGACAUGGCUUCCGAAUGUGGUUUUUCCCUCGAUGGCUUCCUCCCCAGGGAACUGGUUUCAGAUGGUGUCUUAGAGUAUAAAGUCCCAUCUAGCACCAUUUGAAAUCGGUGUUCUUGAGCGGGAACAGACUUCAUCCACUUCAGUUGCCAGAACGUUUAGGAUUUAGUGGCAUUGUUUGCAUCCAACCUUUUUACAAAAAUAUUCCAGGUGGUAUAUACAAUCAGUUUAUACAACCAUGUGUCCACUGCUUCAGUCCUACGCUCCAGUGACCAGAAGAAAAAAAGAAAAGUGCUGGAAGUCCAAUCUCCUGACCAGCUGGUCGCCCUCUUACCAAGGCUGACCGUUUUCGUCUGGUGUUCAGAGUUUCCAUCAUGUCUAGCACCAUUUGAAAUCGGUUAGCAUGUGGAGGGAAUACCAACCAGGCUUUUGCUUCAGCAGUCGCAUGAGGAAGUUCCUUAAAGUACCAGAAGAUGGCAGCAUUGAGCUGCAAUUCACGCUAUCAUCAAAACUCCGUUUCUGCUUUAAUCAUGUUGCCGUCACUCAGCCGUGCUGUGUGUUCCAGCUGCACUUAUCUUCUUCUGUACAGAUGUUAAACAAUAUCUGGCUCAACGCUUCACUAGUUCACGGUUUGUGUAUCCGCCCAUUGCAGACCUGCCAAAUUAUUUCUAUAUUUAAAUAUACAAACAUUGUGCACAUUUUUGUCUAAUUACCAUAUGUGCGGAAUCUUCCAUCAUUAAAGCAAAGCUGGUUUCACUCAAAGUCGAGCAGUCUUUUAUUUAUUAAGUCUCAUUAAAUGAAGCUAUGUUUUUGUUUUUGUUUAAAUAAAAAUGUAACAAAUGGGUUAUUUGUGUUUAUUAUAAUGAAUUAAAUUAAAUUAUAGCUUUUAAUCUUUUAAUACAUGCCUGAGAUUAACCAACACUUUUAGCAUUAACAGCAGGAUGAUAGAAAAGCACUUUUAAAUCAACGAAUACAACAGCCCUGCGAUAAAUACUAUCAUCACGAAGGUUAUAAUUUAGUUUCUGUUUAAACUGUGAGUGGUGGUGUUGCAUUGUGCUGCAUUAUGCUGGCAGGCACUCCUGUUGUUUUGGUCGACCCAUUUAUAUCAAUGACGGAUGACGGCAUAACAGAAACACCCCUCCAGCGUGUAUUUAAACACGAGCGUGUACAUGACGACAACAUUAGCAGUCGCUGUACCGGCCAAAUCUUGUUUCAGUUGAUAUGUUGAGCAACAGUGUAAGUAGUCGUCCACUACAGCUGUGUAAUGACUACCCACUGACCUUCUCAGAAAGUGUGUUGUGGAGCCAAGUCUAAGCUAAAUUGAAAGUCUUAAAAUACUCCACCCCCAACAUGACCUUAAUUUUGAUGUUUGGUGUCUGCAAGAAGCCCACCUGGCACAUGGGUAAAGAUAUAUUCUUAGCAGAGUGUGUUGCCAUAUCAACAAUAAACAAGAACAUACCCGUCCAUGUCCUUUCACUUCGGAGCGCAUGUGAACCAUUUCAGCUGAACAUGACAUCAUCAGAAACAUCAUUCGUUCUAGAUCCUCCCAGCUCUGCUUUGACUUGCCCUGUCGGCGUCACCGUGAU